CGGAACGUGGCCUAGCCUGGUAAGGCGCUUGACUGGGGGUCAAGAGAUCGGAGGUUCAAAUCCUCUCGUUCCGACCA
RNAcentral lists this transfer RNA (77 nucleotides) under Desulfobulbus sp. Its description in RNAcentral is "tRNA-Pro". It matches the Rfam family "tRNA". Rfam says of the family: Transfer RNA (tRNA) molecules are approximately 80 nucleotides in length. Their secondary structure includes four short double-helical elements and three loops (D, anti-codon, and T loops). Further hydrogen bonds mediate the characteristic L-shaped molecular structure. tRNAs have two regions of fundamental functional importance: the anti-codon, which is responsible for specific mRNA codon recognition, and the 3' end, to which the tRNAs corresponding amino acid is attached (by aminoacyl-tRNA synthetases). tRNAs cope with the degeneracy of the genetic code in two manners: having more than one tRNA (with a specific anti-codon) for a particular amino acid; and 'wobble' base-pairing, i.e. permitting non-standard base-pairing at the 3rd anti-codon position. The record is from RNAcentral. Lineage: Bacteria; Pseudomonadati; Thermodesulfobacteriota; Desulfobulbia; Desulfobulbales; Desulfobulbaceae.